This 497-nucleotide ribosomal RNA is filed under the name uncultured bacterium. RNAcentral's name for it is "partial 16S ribosomal RNA". It matches the Rfam family "Bacterial small subunit ribosomal RNA", at positions 28 to 507 of the family's 1533-position model. The record is from RNAcentral.
GACGAACGCUGGCGGCGUGCCUAAUACAUGCAAGUAGAACGCUGAAGAGAGGAGCUUGCUCUUCUUGGAUGAGUUGCGAACGGGUGAGUAACGCGUAGGUAACCUGCCUUGUAGCGGGGGAUAACUAUUGGAAACGAUAGCUAAUACCGCAUAACAAUGGAUGACACAUGUCUUUUAUUUGAAAGGGGCAAUUGCUCCACUACAAGAUGGACCUGCGUUGUAUUAGCUAGUAGGUGAGGUAAUGGCUCACCUAGGCGACGAUACAUAGCCGACCUGAGAGGGUGAUCGGCCACACUGGGACUGAGACACGGCCCAGACUCCUACGGGAGGCAGCAGUAGGGAAUCUUCGGCAAUGGGGGCAACCCUGACCGAGCAACGCCGCGUGAGUGAAGAAGGUUUUCGGAUCGUAAAGCUCUGUUGUAAGUCAAGAACGGGUGUGAGAGUGGAAAGUUCACACUGUGACGGUAGCUUAACAGAAAGGGACGGCUAACUACGUG